AAUGGACCACGUUCCUCCUUAGA
RNAcentral lists this transfer RNA (23 nucleotides) under Isabellaria lutracana. RNAcentral's name for it is "Sericata lutracana partial tRNA-Met". The record is from RNAcentral. Lineage: Eukaryota; Metazoa; Mollusca; Gastropoda; Stylommatophora; Clausiliidae.